GGGAGAGCUCAAGAAAUCUCUGUAACAUCUUUGGAUGAAACGGAUACUGAAAAAUGUAAAGUGAAAGGAUGAAGCCCAUCAGUCCCCAGACUGGAUUGCCUUCACUUGCCUUGCUGGAGUUUGACUGUUAUCUGACGCAUACCCUAUGCAUGGCUGGGGAACAUGAGAAUGAGCAGCAUAUGACUAGAGGUGCUAUGUAAAUCUACAGUACUUCCUUGCAGCCCAUUACAAUGGAGAAAAUAAAUGAGUGCUGAAGUGAUUGCAGCAGGUUUGGAGAUUCCAUUUUGUAACAGAAUGGCUUCUAUCCAGGGAUGGAUCUCUGCUUUAUUAGAGAGAUGCAUAAAGAUAUUAUUAUCUCUGGGGGAAGAAAGAUAUGUGCACAAAGAGUGUGUUUAUGGGUACUCCUGAACAGGUGGGCUUGCUUGGGUUCUGCAGGAGAGCGAGACCGACAAAGGAAUCUUUUCAACUGGCUAGCUGGAGGUCACACACUAGAAUUUCCAUUAAUGCUACACUCUGUUAACUCUGUAGUUGAAGCCUGGGAAGAAAACUUCAAAUAAAUCCACAAAGGAGUUCAUGAAAGUUGAAAAGCCAGUGAUAGAAAUUUCUCUCCAGGCUGAGAAUUUUGGAUGAUGAAGAGUUUUGGAUGAUGAAGAAUUUUGGCUGAUCCAUUUGGCCAUGUAUGGCUUAUAUCUGCCAAUUAUGGUAUCAGAACAUCUUGAAUUAAAGAAGUCAUUUUAGUAAAGAAGCAGCUGUGAAUGCAGAGGAAGAUGGUCUGAAGGUACUGGUAACAUCAUUUAAAACAUUACCACAAGUAGGCAAUUCCCUUAAGAAAUCUCAGAGGUUGCUGCAGGUCUACUUUUAAAGAGCUGCUCCUUGGCUAAAAUUUGUGCUUUGCUCAGUGAGGAAAAGAAGAGAAAAAAAUGUUGGGUGCAUGGUAUACUGUGAUUUUCUUGGUACACCCAGUAAAAGAAAGCAUAUAUUCAGCAUACAACAUACCUGUGAAGCUAAGAAAUAAAUCUGCUGCUUUGGAAGUGUAAUAAGGAAAAAUGGCUGAAUAAUGAAGAAAAACUACACAGAACUAAAAGAAGUAUUACACAGUGCAGAAGUUACUAAUGGUAUGCAGAAACUCAUCAACUCAGAUGUAUUGAACCUGAAAGCAUGCAAAAGAAAUGCUCCAUGGAAAAUCUUCAAAUGGUGGGAAGAUGUGGGCAGACAACUGAAAGACAAGUCCUGGACGCUUUUAACUCAGUAGGACAAGAAGUGGAUGUGGAUUCUCCCACAAGAAUGGGUGCAAACAGUGCAGGAAUCCAGAAAAGGACAAGGAAAUUGAUUCUCUUGUUUGGGUUUUUUUUGCACAGAAAUGGCCUUAUCACCAAUGGGAGAAUUUUUGAAGAUUUACCAUCCAGUUGCAAAAAA
This 1416-nucleotide long non-coding RNA is filed under the name Strigops habroptila (Kakapo). RNAcentral describes it as "lncRNA (ENSSHBG00005019725.1)". Lineage: Eukaryota; Metazoa; Chordata; Aves; Psittaciformes; Psittacidae. The record is from RNAcentral.